RNAcentral lists this ribosomal RNA (2013 nucleotides) under Triticum aestivum (bread wheat). Its description in RNAcentral is "partial small subunit ribosomal RNA". The record is from RNAcentral. Lineage: Eukaryota; Viridiplantae; Streptophyta; Magnoliopsida; Poales; Poaceae.
AUGGCCGCUCCGCCGCGCAAGCGGGCGCUCGCCUUCCGCACGGCGGCGCUCGCGCUCCUCGCCAUCCUCGCCGUCGCGCGAGGACAGCAGCAGUACGAGGCCAACGCGCAGACCAACUGCUACGGCAGAAACGGCAGCUCCGUGCUCGGCUACACCUGCAACGCCACCGCCGCGGCCGCCCCCUGCGCCACCUACGUCGUCUUCCGCUCCUCCCCGCCGUACUACGGCACCGCCGUCUCCAUCUCCUACCUCCUCGGCUCCGAUCCGGCCGCCGUCGCGGAAGCGAACGGCGUUCCCACCGUCUCCCCGCUCGCCGACUCCCGCCUCGUUCUCGCGCCUGUCCCCUGCGGCUGCUCUCCGCGCGGCUACUACCAGCACAACUCCAGCCACACCAUCCAGUUCCGCGGCGAGACCUACUUUAUCAUCGCCAACAACACCUACCAGGGCCUCACCACCUGCCAGGCGCUCCUCGCGCAGAACCCCAGGCACGGCAGCCGCGACCUCGUCUCCGGGAACAACCUCACCGUGCCGAUCCGCUGCGCGUGCCCCUCGCCGGCACAGGCCGCCGCUGGGGUUAGGCACCUGCUCACCUACCUCGUCACGUGGGGCGACAGCGUCUCGGCCAUCGCCGACCGCUUCCGUGUCGACACCCAGGCUGUGCUCCAGGCCAACAACCUCACCGCUAGCGAGAUCAUAUUUCCCUUCACCACUCUGCUAAUCCCGCUCAAGAGCGCGCCCACGCCGGACAUGCUCGUGUCGCGGGCGCCGCCGCCCGCACCGGCGCCACCGCAGGCCCAGCAGCCGCCGGCGUCUGGCAGCCGGAAGUGGAUUGCCGUCGGGGUCGGUGUUGGUGUCGGUGUUCUUGCGCUAGCGGGCCUUCUUGGCCUGAUGUUGUUAUGUGUUCGCUGGCGGCGGCCCCGGCCAGGCGUUGGGGAAAGGGGCCGCGGGGGCAAGGUGGUUCUUGACGUGCCCUCGUCGGCGGAUUACGACGCUCUUGCCUCCGGCAAGCAUACAUCGGCAGCUACGAUAACCUCCUUAUCUUCAUCGGCGUUGGUGUCCAGCGACGCGCGCGCGGCGGUGGAGUCCCUGACCGUGUACAAGUACUCCGAACUCGAGAAGGCAACGGCAGGAUUCUCGGAGGAUCGGAGGGUCAAGAACGCGUCCGUGUACCGCGCGGAGAUCAACGGCGACGCGGCGGCCGUGAAGCGUGUGGCCGGCGAUGUGAGUGGCGAGGUGGGCAUCCUGAAGCGCGUGAACCACUCCAGCCUCGUCCGCCUCUCCGGUCUCUGCGUCCACCACGGCGACACCUACCUCGUCUUCGAGUUCGCCGAGAACGGCGCGCUCAGCGACUGGCUCCACGGCGGCGGCGCCACCCUCGUGUGGAAGCAGCGCGUCCAGGCGGCCUUCGACGUUGCCGACGGCCUCAACUACCUCCAUCACUACACCAACCCGCCGUGCGUGCACAAGAACCUCAAGAGCAGCAACGUCCUCCUCGACGACGACCUCCGCGCCAAGGUGUCAAGCUUCGCGCUAGCCCGGUCGGUCCCCACGGGCGCCGACGGUGGCGACGCGCAGCUCACCCGCCACGUCGUGGGUACCCAGGGGUACCUGGCCCCGGAGUACCUGGAGCACGGCCUCAUCACGCCCAAGCUCGACGUUUUCGCCUUCGGCGUCAUCCUCCUCGAGCUGCUGUCCGGGAAGGAGGCGACAUUCGACGGUGGCGACAAAAGAGGGGAGACGCUGCUGUGGGAGUCCGCGGAGGGGCUGGUCAUCGACGGCGAGGACGCGCGCGGCAAGGUGCGGGCAUUCAUGGACCGGCGGCUGAACGGCGACUACCCGCUGGACCUCGCCGUCACCGUGGCGUCGCUGGCGGUGCGGUGCGUGGCGAGGGAGCCCAGAGGGCGGCCGUCCAUGGAGGAGGUGUUCGUGACGCUGUCGGCGGUGUACAACUCCACGCUGGAUUGGGAUCCCUCGGAUUGCGGCAACUCUCGCUCUUCGAUCGUGGGGAGAUAG